Molecule: unclassified non-coding RNA, 26 nt
Filed under: Dictyostelium discoideum
Lineage: Eukaryota; Evosea; Eumycetozoa; Dictyosteliales; Dictyosteliaceae
Source: RNAcentral
UCGUAGAUACUUGGGUGAGAGUGGUC